Molecule: ribosomal RNA, 253 nt
Filed under: uncultured bacterium
Lineage: Bacteria
Description: partial 16S ribosomal RNA
Rfam family: Bacterial small subunit ribosomal RNA
Source: RNAcentral
UACGAAGGGGGCUAGCGUUGUUCGGAAUUACUGGGCGUAAAGCGCGCGCAGGCGGCUAUCCAAGUCAGUGGUGAAAGCCCGGAGCUCAACUCCGGAACUGCCAUUGAAACUGUUUAGCUUGAGGAUGAGAGAGGUGAGUGGAAUUCCCAGUGUAGAGGUGAAAUUCGUAGAUAUUGGGAAGAACACCGGUGGCGAAGGCGGCUCACUGGCUCAUUACCGACGCUCAGGCGCGACAGCGUGGGGAGCAAACAGG